Non-coding RNA from Sus scrofa (pig), 1757 nucleotides. The record is from RefSeq and is a predicted model, not a curated record. Lineage: Eukaryota; Metazoa; Chordata; Mammalia; Artiodactyla; Suidae.
GGAAGGUUAUGUUCUCCUGUUCCAUUGAUAUCAGGCUUGGCAGUAUGACUUCUCUGACAAAAUUGCAUGCUGCAACUUGAGGGAUCUCAGUUCCCAGACAAAGGAUUGAACCAGACCAUAGUGGUGAAAGCACUGAGUACUAACUACUCGGCAACCAGUGCAUGUUACAGAGGUAUGGAGGAUGAGUCUCAAGUUUCUGGCUGCUUGGAAUGGAAGCACAUCAAUAAGGAUUAUGAUGAGAGGAAGAGUCACAGAUGGAGCAGAGAAAAAUACCUUCACUUUUGGAUACAUUGAUUUUGAUGUCUACCAUGGUCACUUGUCCAGUAGGUGGUUGUGUAUUCAGGUUUGAAUACCAGGUUUGAGAAUAUAUAUUUUUACAUCAUUUCACAUAGGUGAGUUUUUAAACCAUGAAAGUGAGUGACUUUGGCCAGGAGAAUAGGUGGAGGAAAAAGAAAUGUGGGUAGAAAAAUUGUGGGGAAAAAAGUUUUUUGUGUUAAAAUUUAAAGGAAGCAGUUUAUAUUUCAUAAUCCUAUGUCCCUGUCUUGACCCACUCUUCAUCACUCUGCUUACUGGUAACCAUACUUUGUUUUCUAUAUCUAUGAGUCUGUUUUGGUUUGUUAUACACAUUUGUUUUAUAAAAUAAAUGAGAAACAAGGGUAAACUCUUCAGCAUAUGGAAAUAUAUCCGUUAUUUUGUAAUAACUUUAAAUGGAGUAUACACUGUAAAGAUAUUUAGUCACUACAUCUGAAACUAAUAUAAUAUUGUAAAUCAACUAUACUUCAAAAAAACAUAAAGGACUGAUUUUGUAGUGUAAUUUAUGUAGACUAUGCUAAAAAAAAGAAUGGUGAAAAGAUAAGGAACCAUGCAAUUGACAAAUUAACUUGAUCAUAAUCUCUGAAAUAUUUAAAUUGUAAAAAAAUCAAUAUAUUUUAGAAUUUCUCAAAAUGCACUUUCAGCAUGCAUUAAAGUUAAUUCAGUUAAGCCUUGCCAUAUAACUCACAUCCAAACAUGACCCAGUAAGAAAUUAGGCAGGUGUAAUUUUCUAUGUGGUGCUAAGGACUGUUUUUUUCUUGAUCUACUCAUUAUUUCACGUGUUUAAAAAUAAUUAGGCCAAUCAGAUAUAUAUCUUUCUGCUGAUGCAAACAGGAAGACAAGUAUUGUCCCAUUGCCUUUGCCCUGGCAUGGUAAAAAAGAGGCAGUUGCGUAUAUUUGCCAAUAUCAACAUCAAUUAGUCAAAUUAAAAUGAUUGAAUUCACCAUCAUAAACUGAUCUUUCUUGAAUAAUUACAUAUGGUGUGAUAAUACAUACAGCAAAAACGACGUUCUAUAAACUUCAGGCAGGUUUUCCAAUGUAUAUAGCAGUGUGCUGAUAUCUUUCCUAGAUACUUUGUAAACCAAAAACACUCAUAUGGCACAAACCCUUGGGGUCAUGUAUAAAAAAUAUUGUGUUAAAACAGUAAAGAAAAUAUGCUUCUUUUUUGUUUCAAAUAUUCUAAAUUUGCUAGCUUGGAUGCCAGCUGCCUCAAAAUAUCAGCUGCAUACCUAGUUUGAUGCUUGGGGACUUUCAUUUCAUUUGGUAUAAUUGACCCUGGCUAAAAAAAAGCAUCCUCACCACUACUAUAGCAUGUACUAAAAAUUUAUUUGUGGAAGGUAGUCUUCUCCAAUCUUCGCAUGAAUUUACUUUUUUUUUUUUUCUUUUUGUGUUUUGGCCUUUUCUAGGGCUGCUCCCCCGACACAUGGAGGUUCCCAGGCUAGGAG